Molecule: ribosomal RNA, 1329 nt
Filed under: metagenome
Description: SSU rRNA
Rfam family: Eukaryotic small subunit ribosomal RNA
Source: RNAcentral
UCUGGUUGAUCCUGCCAGUAGUCAUAUGCUUGUCUCAAAGAUUAAGCCAUGCAUGUCUAAGUAUAAAUAGUAUACAGUGAAACUGCGAAUGGCUCAUUAAAACAGUUAUAGUUUAUUUGAUAAUUGACAAUUACAUGGAUAACCGUGGUAAUUCUAGAGCUAAUACAUGCUUAAACGCCCGACUUUAUGGAAGGGUGGUAUUUAUUAGACUGAAGCCAAUAUUCCUUGUGUCUAUUGCGGUGAUUCAUAAUAACUGAUCGAAUCUCUUUUUGAGAUAAAUCACUCAAGUUUCUGCCCUAUCAGCUUUCGAUGGUAGUGUAUUGGACUACCAUGGCAGUAACGGGUAACGAAGAAUUAGGGUUCGAUUUCGGAGAGGGAGCAUGAGAAACGGCUACCACAUCUAAGGAAGGCAGCAGGCGCGUAAAUUACCCAAUCCUGACUCAGGGAGGUAGUGACAAGAAAUAGCAAACCGGGAACCUCAUGGUUUCACGGUAUUGCAAUGAGAACAAUUUAAAACCCUUAGCGAGAAUCAAGUGGAGGACAAGUCUGGUGCCAGCACCCGCGGUAAUUCCAGCUCCACUAGCGUAUAUUAAAGUUGUUGCAGUUAAAAGCUCGUAGUUGAACCUCUGUCUGGGGCUAGUUUUGGCUUUGGUCAGGCUAGUUCUAGGCAUCCGCCUACAAGACUUAGAGGGCAUUCAGUUGUUCACUAGGAGGAGUAGGCAUUUUACUUUGAAAAAAUUAGAGUGUUUAAGGCAGGCAAUCGCCCGCAUAUAUUAGCAUGGAAUAAUAGAAUAGGACACUUUUCCAUUUCGUUGGUUAUUGGAAUCGUGUAAUGAUUAAUAGGGACAGUUGUGGGCAUUUGUAUUUAAUUGUCAGAGGUGAAAUUCUUGGAUUUAUUAAAGACAAACUAACGCGAAAGCAUUUGCCAAGGAUGUUUUCAUUAAUCAAGAACGAAAGUUAGGGGAUCAAAGACGAUCAGAUACCGUCCUAGUCUUAACUAUAAACUAUUCCGACUCAAUGUUUGACUGGCUUAUAUAACCAGUUGAGCGUUGUAUGAGAAAUCAAAGUCUUUAGGUUCUGGGGGGAGUAUGGUUGCAAAGCUGAAACUUAAAGGAAUUGACGGAAGAGCACAACCAGGAGUGGAUUCUGCGGCUUAAUUUGACUCAACACGGGGAAACUUACCAGGUUAAAACAAUAGUGGGAUUGACAGUUUGAGAGCGCUUUCUUGAUUGGUUGGGUGGUGGUGCAUGGCCGUUCUUAGUUGGUGGAGUGAUUUGUCUGCUUAAUUGCGUUAACGAACGAGACCUUAACCUGCUUACUAGACUGGCC